Molecule: ribosomal RNA, 382 nt
Filed under: uncultured eukaryote
Lineage: Eukaryota
Description: partial 18S ribosomal RNA
Rfam family: Eukaryotic small subunit ribosomal RNA
Source: RNAcentral
UGUAAGCGUAUACCAAAGUUGUUGCAGUUAAAACGCUCGUAGUCGGAAUUUGGCAGUUCCGGAUGUGUGCACGUCGUGUGCGCACUUCGCGGGGAUUGCUUUUGUGGUCUUGCGUAGGAUGAGGCACUUUUAUUAGUGAACGUCCUCACGCAACCACUUUUUACUGUGAGAAAAUCAGAGUGCUCAAAGAAGGCAUUUGCCGUGAAUGUAUUAGCAUGGAAUAAUAGAAUAGGACUUGGUUCUAUUUUGUUGGUUUGUUGGGACUGAGUAAUGAUUAAGAGGGACAGUUGGGGGCAUUUGUAUUUCGGUGCUAGAGGUGAAAUUCUUAGAUUACCGAAAGACAAACUGCUGCGAAAGCGUCUGCCAAGGAUGUUUUCAUUGA